Molecule: ribosomal RNA, 247 nt
Filed under: uncultured archaeon
Lineage: Archaea
Description: partial 16S ribosomal RNA
Rfam family: Archaeal small subunit ribosomal RNA
Source: RNAcentral
CCGACGGUGAGGGACGAAAGCUGGGGGAGCAAACCGGAUUAGAUACCCGGGUAGUCCCAGCUGUAAACGAUGCGCGUUAGGUGUGUCAGUGACCACGUGUCACUGAUGUGCCGAAGGGAAACCGUGAAACGCGCCGCCUGGGGAGUACGGUCGCAAGGCUGAAACUUAAAGGAGUUGGCGGGGGAGCACCACAACGGGUGGAGCCUGCGGUUUAAUCGGACUCAACGCCGGAAAUCUCACCGGAUAA